AGCGGAGGAAAAGAAACCAACCGGGAUUGCCUCAGUAACGGCGAGUGAAGCGGCAAGAGCUCAAAUUUGAAAUCUGGCCCCUCCGGGGUCCGAGUUGUAAUUUGCAGAGGAUGCUUCGGGUGCGGCCCCUGUCUAAGUGCCCUGGAACGGGCCGUCAGAGAGGGUGAGAAUCCCGUCUUGGGCAGGGUGCCCGUGCCCGUGUGAAGCUCCUUCGACGAGUCGAGUUGUUUGGGAAUGCAGCUCAAAAUGGGUGGUAAAUUUCAUCUAAAGCUAAAUACCGGCCGGAGACCGAUAGCGCACAAGUAGAGUGAUCGAAAGAUGAAAAGCACUUUGAAAAGAGAGUUAAACAGCACGUGAAAUUGUUGAAAGGGAAGCGCUUGCAACCAGACUCGGCCUCGGGGUUCAGCCAGCAUUCGUGCUGGUGUACUUCCCCGGGGCCGGGCCAGCGUCGGUUUGGGCGGCCGGUCAAAGGCCCCAGGAAUGUAUCGUCCUCCGGGACGUCUUAUAGCCUGGGGUGCAAUGCGGCCAGCCUGGACCGAGGAACGCGCUUCGGCACGGACGCUGGCGUAAUGGUCGCAAAC
RNAcentral lists this ribosomal RNA (581 nucleotides) under Aspergillus sydowii. RNAcentral describes it as "eukaryotic LSU rRNA". It matches the Rfam family "Eukaryotic large subunit ribosomal RNA", at positions 49 to 645 of the family's 3401-position model. Lineage: Eukaryota; Fungi; Ascomycota; Eurotiomycetes; Eurotiales; Aspergillaceae. The record is from RNAcentral.